Molecule: transfer RNA, 67 nt
Filed under: bovine gut metagenome
Rfam family: tRNA
About the family: Transfer RNA (tRNA) molecules are approximately 80 nucleotides in length. Their secondary structure includes four short double-helical elements and three loops (D, anti-codon, and T loops).
Source: RNAcentral
UGGUAUGGCUCAGUCGGUAGAGCAGCUGAUUCGUAAUCAGCAGGUCACCAGUUCGAAUCUGGUUACC